RNAcentral lists this ribosomal RNA (468 nucleotides) under uncultured bacterium. RNAcentral's name for it is "partial 16S ribosomal RNA". It matches the Rfam family "Bacterial small subunit ribosomal RNA", at positions 28 to 507 of the family's 1533-position model. The record is from RNAcentral.
GACGAACGCUGGCGGCGUGCUUAACACAUGCAAGUCGAACGGAAAGGCCCUGCUUUUGUGGGGUGCUCGAGUGGCGAACGGGUGAGUAACACGUGAGUAACCUGCCCUUGACUUUGGGAUAACUUCAGGAAACUGGGGCUAAUACCGGAUAGGAGCUCCUGCUGCAUGUUGGGGGUUGGAAAGAUUCGGCGGUUGGGGAUGGACUCGCGGCUUAUCAGCUUGUUGGUGGGGUAGUGGCUUACCAAGGCUUUGACGGGUAGCCGGCCUGAGAGGGUGACCGGCCACAUUGGGACUGAGAUACGGCCCAGACUCCUACGGGACGCAGCAGUGGGGAAUAUUGCACAAUGGGCGGAAGCCUGAUGCAGCAACGCCGCGUGCGGGAUGACGGCCUUCGGGUUGUAAACCGCUUUCGCCUGUGACGAAGCGUGAGUGACGGUAAUGGGUAAAGAAGCACCGGCUAACUACGUG